AAAAAGGCAAACCCUGGGUUUCCGUGUCAAUGUUUGACUGUCCGUCUUAUAUGAAAUUUUUUUAUAAUUAGUAUUUUCAUUGUUGUUAGAUGAUAAAACAUGAUUAAUACUUUAUAUGUGACUUAUCUUUUUAAUUUUUUUCAUAUUUUUUUCAAAUAAGACAGAUGGUCAAACGUUGGACACGGAAACUAGGGUUUGUCUUUUU
Molecule: non-coding RNA, 205 nt
Organism: Oryza glumipatula
Lineage: Eukaryota; Viridiplantae; Streptophyta; Magnoliopsida; Poales; Poaceae
Source: Rfam